GACGAACGCUGGCGGCGUGCUUAACACAUGCAAGUCGAACGGUGAAGCUCCAGCUUGCUGGAGUGGAUCAGUGGCGAACGGGUGAGUAACACGUGAGCAACCUGCCCCUGACUCUGGAAUAAGCGCUGGAAACGGCGUCUAAUACUGGAUACGAGAAGGGCCCGCAUGGGCACUUUCUGGAAAGUUUUUCGGUUGGGGAUGGGCUCGCGGCCUAUCAGCUUGCUGGUGAGGUAAUGGCUCACCAAGGCGACGACGGGUAGCCGGCCUGAGAGGGCGACCGGCCACACUGGGACUGAGACACGGCCCAGACUCCUACGGGAGGCAGCAGUGGGGAAUAUUGCACAAUGGGCGAAAGCCUGAUGCAGCGACGCCGCGUGAGGGAUGACGGCCUUCGGGUGGUAAACCUCUUUCAGCAGGGAAGAAGCGAAAGGGACGGGACCUGCAGAAGAAGCACCGGCGAACUACGG
Molecule: ribosomal RNA, 467 nt
Filed under: uncultured bacterium
Lineage: Bacteria
Description: partial 16S ribosomal RNA
Rfam family: Bacterial small subunit ribosomal RNA
Source: RNAcentral